GUGUUAUAUGCAAAGAGAGAAAGUUAGCACUCCCCUUGACAAAGAUGGAAGAGGCCGUUGGGCCUGACAAUACACAUAGGGUUAAGGUAUUGCCACCUAAUUCGUGGCAUCUAACCACUGUAAAAA
Molecule: non-coding RNA, 126 nt
Filed under: Chinchilla lanigera (long-tailed chinchilla)
Lineage: Eukaryota; Metazoa; Chordata; Mammalia; Rodentia; Chinchillidae
Source: RNAcentral